AAUUCCUCAGCUUUAUUUGUAUCUUCUUUUUUUGGCAGGUUUCCAACAAAUGCAUGACACUUAGCUUGGUGGAGUUGACUCUUGACUGGUAACAGCUAAAGACUCUACAAUACGAGAUAGUGAACCUCUUACUGGGUUCAAGGCAUUGAGAAAACAAGAGAGAUCUACAUGAAAGUCAGCCAGGACGGCCUCAAUAAACCUGGAUUUGAGUUCUGAUAUUGCUGAUGACCUGUACUAUAGACAUGAACAGGCUCUUCUCACAAUAUCUGGGAUACCGGCUCCUUGUGGCUUCUGUGAACAUGGG
Ficedula albicollis (Collared flycatcher) is the source of this 304-nucleotide long non-coding RNA. RefSeq lists it as uncharacterized. NCBI's taxonomy places the organism in Eukaryota, Metazoa, Chordata, Aves, Passeriformes, Muscicapidae. The record is from RefSeq and is a predicted model, not a curated record. The transcript is spliced from 3 exons.